ACGUAGGUGGCGAGCGUUAUCCGGAUUUACUGGGCGUAAAGGGUGUGCAGGCGGGCUGUUAAGUGGUGUAUGAAAUCGCCCGGCUCAACCGGGCGAGGUUAUGCCAGACUGGCAGUCUAGAGAGCGAGAGAGGGACGUGGAAUUCCGGGUGUAGUGGUGGAAUGCGUAGAGAUCCGGAAGAACACCGGUGGCGAAGGCGGCCUGCUGGGCAGUAGCUGACACUGAGGCGCGACAGCGUGGGGAGCAAACAGGA
Molecule: ribosomal RNA, 253 nt
Filed under: uncultured prokaryote
Description: partial 16S ribosomal RNA
Rfam family: Bacterial small subunit ribosomal RNA
Source: RNAcentral